RNAcentral lists this ribosomal RNA (285 nucleotides) under uncultured bacterium. RNAcentral's name for it is "partial 16S ribosomal RNA". It matches the Rfam family "Bacterial small subunit ribosomal RNA", at positions 333 to 633 of the family's 1533-position model. The record is from RNAcentral.
UUGAUCCUACGGGGGGCAGCAGUGGGGGAUAUUGCACAAUGGGGGAAACCCUGAUGCAGCGACGCCGCGUGGGCGAAGAAGUAUUUCGGUAUGUAAAGCCCUAUCAGCAGGGAAGAAGAAAUGACGGUACCUGAGUAAGAAGCACCGGCUAAAUAAGUGGCAGCAGCCGCGGUAAUACGUAUGGUGCAAGCGUUAUCCGGAUUUACUGGGUGUAAAGGGAGCGCAGGCGGCACGGCAAGCCUGAUGUGAAAGCACGCGGCCCAACAGCGGGACUGCAUUGGGAAC